This 125-nucleotide small RNA is filed under the name Marmota monax (woodchuck). The record is from RNAcentral. Lineage: Eukaryota; Metazoa; Chordata; Mammalia; Rodentia; Sciuridae.
GUUGGGUGCAGUGGAGCACACCUGUAAUCCCAGCAGCUUGGGAAGCUGAGGCAGGAGGAUCACGAGUUCAAAGCCAGCCUCAGCAACAGUGAGGUACUGAGCAACUCAGUGAGACUCUGUCUCUA